GUGGGGAAUAUUGGGCAAUGGGGGCAACCCUGACCCAGCGACGCCGCGUGAGGGAAGACGGCCUUCGGGUUGUAAACCUCUUUUGUACGGGACGAAGGAAGUGACGGUACUGUACGAAUAAGUCCCGGCUAACUACGUGCCAGCAGCCGCGGUAAUACGUAGGGGACGAGCGUUGUCCGGAAUUACUGGGCGUAAAGGGCGCGCAGGCUGUGCUGCAAGUCAGCUGUGAAAUGUCUGGGCUUAACCCGGGCAUGCGGUUGAGACUGCAGUGCUGGAGUGCUGUAGAGGCAAGUGGAAUUCCCAGUGUAGCGGUGAAAUGCGUAGAGAUUGGGAAGAACACCGGUGGCGAAGGCGACUUGCUGGGCAGCAACUGACGCUGAGGCGCGAAAGCCAGGGGAGCAAACGGGAUUAGAAACCCCAGUAGUCC
This 427-nucleotide ribosomal RNA is filed under the name uncultured bacterium. RNAcentral describes it as "partial 16S ribosomal RNA". It matches the Rfam family "Bacterial small subunit ribosomal RNA", at positions 354 to 796 of the family's 1533-position model. The record is from RNAcentral.